Molecule: long non-coding RNA, 2061 nt
Organism: Oncorhynchus mykiss (rainbow trout)
Lineage: Eukaryota; Metazoa; Chordata; Actinopteri; Salmoniformes; Salmonidae
Source: RefSeq, a predicted model, not a curated record
UCCUCCUCUCAUAUGCCAGGUACCAUGUCUCUAUCAUCUGGGCUUUCUAAGGCUAUAAACUCUUCCCCUCACUCUGCUGGAUCAGAAAACAUGUGAUCUAUCUCUCCACAUGACAGCAACGUUUUCUUCUCUUCCUCAGUUGCGUAGCGGGGGAGAACCAUCAGGGGGCCCUGCGCUGCUGAGGUCGGUGCUGUGGAGAUCCCUCCACUUCCUGGUUUACGGGCUGCUACAUGACAGCGCCGACAGCCCCAGCCAUUAGAAGAUUAGCCGGAUCGUUCACUGGCGUGCCAGGAUGGAUCAGGAAUAAAAUGAUUCCAGACACUCUAUAGAAAUCUAGGAGGUGGUGACAGAAUGCAGCAAGGAUGACGUCUUCUCUCUGAGGCAUCCUGCCCCCUGCCGUCUGAAAUGGACUGCUCUACUGAAUCAGUCUGAAUCCACUGAGUGACAAACUCACAGGCACUACAUUGACACCUGUCAGUCCAUUUAUACAGGCCAGGGGUAAACAUCACUUGAUGAAGUCAAACAGACUGACUUCUAAGAGAUGCCCAAAGAAAGCUCAUACAUAUGAUGGAAUGAUGUUUAAAAAUGGAGGGUGCAGACGGACAGACGUACUGAUGGAUGAAGGUAGAGACAGGCAGAAAUAUAGAUUUGCAGACAGAUAAAAGUGCGUAUGUCCUGAGAUCCUAACAUCAGAAACCUUGUCCUCAUUUGUGUCUUACCUCAGAAGAUGAAUGGAGCCAGUGUCAGUGUAAAAUAACGAUUCAGUCUCUUAGUGAAAUUGUUCAUAUGAUGGACCUGUGCAGCCAUUUACAUCAAUGAAACCUGUCAUUUUCCCUCCCAAGUCAAAUGACUCUUUUCAUCUUUUCAUGCAUUCUUCAACCCAAGAGCACUCAGGCAUUUGGCAAACCCAACGCUCCACUGGUCUGACACUACACUCUCAGAAAAAAAUGGUUACAAAAUGGUUCUGCGGCUGUCUCCAUAGGAGAACCCUUUUAAACUCAACUCCCUUUUUAGUUUCAGGUAGAACUAUUUUGGGUUCCAUGUAGAACUCUCUGUGGAAAGGAUUCUGCAUGGAACAGAAAGGGGUUCUUCAAAAGGUUCUCCUAUGGAGACAGCCGAAGAACCCUUUUUGGUUCUAGAUAGCAACUUUUUUUUCUAAGUGUAAGAGCAAUGUCAAACGGCAUUAUGACCGAACACACAUAAUCGAUAGACAGAUUGACAUUUUAAGCACAUUUGUAUCUAAGUAGUGUAUAAGGUGGUUUAUGUCAGCAUAUAUUAACAGAAAGACAGACCAAAGACAGACUGUGUGGAAGAAUAGUGACAUCAUUCUUCGUGUUCAGAAAGACAAAAACUUGAUUCAGGCUCCACACAAGCAGUUGGACCAAUUCCGUGCUGUAGGGAGUGGUGAGGUCCAUUGUUGGCAAAGUACACUACUAGGGAAAGGGGGAUACCUAGUCAGUUGUACAACUGAAUGCAUUCAACUGAAAUGUGUCUUCCGCAUUUAACCCAACCUCUGCAUUUAACCCAACCCCUCUAUUAGUCCAUGGGGUGGCAAAGGUUUAAUGAUGUUAAAUUGUUCUCCACCAACUCCUGAUCAAAUUGAUAUAUGAUAACCAUAUAAGUUUUUCACACGUGUGUAUAUCUUAAUGUAUAGGGAAUCUAUGCAAUAGAAUGUUUGCAGGCUGAUAAAAGAAUGCUGAGACAAGUUGGAAUUUCCACAUGCACAUUGAAAAUGACUGUAUCAAACAACAAUGGAACAUUCUACUCGGCUAUUCUCAUAUUAAAAACCAUGGGAUAUAGUACAGUGAUGCUAUCAAGAGCAGUGUACGGGUUUCUUCUUUAUUCUCAUAUUAAAAACCAUGGGAUAUAGUACAGUGAUACUAUCAAGAGCAGUGUACGGGUUUCUUCUUUAUUCUCAUAUUAAAAACCAUGGGAUAUAGUACAGUGAUACUAUCAAGAGCAGUGUACGGGUUUCUUCUUUAUUCUCAUAUUAAAAACCAUGGGAUAUAGUACAGUGAUACUAUCAAGAGCAGUGUACGGGUUUCUUCUUUAUUCUCAUAU